CCAAAUUUAACAGCAAUCACAAAUGCGACUUAGAUUGAUUCUACUGUUCUUGCUCACCUCGUAGUCUGAGAGCAAAUGGAGUAAGAGCAACGACGCAUCUGAUAAUAACGUCCGAGUAGUGGAUGAUGAUGAUAGACGGAUUAUGAGUCGGCGGCGAAGAGAUAGAUAUCGAGUGACUGAGAUUGAGUCGGAGAGACUUCAGCGAGAGUUUGGACGACGGCGGAGUUGGGACUUGAAUGACGGAGAGAGAGUUUUUU
Molecule: long non-coding RNA, 257 nt
Filed under: Linum usitatissimum (flax)
Lineage: Eukaryota; Viridiplantae; Streptophyta; Magnoliopsida; Malpighiales; Linaceae
Description: long non-coding RNA (LUSI_LNC006554)
Source: RNAcentral